AGCAGGCUUGAAUGGAUAAAGAGAGAGAGAGAGAGAGAGAGAGAGAGAGAGAGAGAGAGAGAGAGAGAUGUACUGUAAUUAAAAUAACAAACCAAUGUACCAACUGUUAUCUACCAUUUUAGUGAUCAGGGUGGGAACCAGAGGGAUUCUCCAUGGCAUUGUUUACACCUGCGACCAGAUGAUUGCCCUGAGGCACCCGAGCAUCCUGACUGGACACCCUCCAUACCGGAGGAGCUGAGGAGACGGCGAGGCUGCAGAGUGGGGGUUAAACGGAGGAUGAAGAAGAGGAGGUUUAAACUCUUCAUCCCUGCAGUCAUCACUGGAAACAAACGUGGCUACACGAGCAGACGUCACCAUGCCCGGCUCCCAGACGGUUCGAGCCGACUGUUUUUUAUAUCUGUAGCCUAUUUAUUUCACUCAAAUGUUGCCGUGACAAGUGAAUUUCCCCAUUGUGGGAUUAAUAAAGUUAUAUAUCUAG
This is a long non-coding RNA of Dicentrarchus labrax (European seabass), 478 nucleotides long. RefSeq lists it as uncharacterized. The transcript has 2 exons. The record is from RefSeq and is a predicted model, not a curated record. Lineage: Eukaryota; Metazoa; Chordata; Actinopteri; Moronidae.